This 490-nucleotide ribosomal RNA is filed under the name uncultured bacterium. Its description in RNAcentral is "partial 16S ribosomal RNA". It matches the Rfam family "Bacterial small subunit ribosomal RNA", at positions 30 to 507 of the family's 1533-position model. The record is from RNAcentral.
AUUGAACGCUGGCGGCAGGCCUAACACAUGCAAGUCGAACGGUAACAGGAAGCAGCUUGCUGCUUCGCUGACGAGUGGCGGACGGGUGAGUAAUGUCUGGGAAGCUGCCUGAUGGAGGGGGAUAACUACUGGAAACGGUAGCUAAUACCGCAUAAUGUCGCAAGACCAAAGAGGGGGACCUUCGGGCCUCUUGCCAUCGGAUGUGCCCAGAUGGGAUUAGCUUGUUGGUGGGGUAACGGCUCACCAAGGCGACGAUCCCUAGCUGGUCUGAGAGGAGGACAAGCCACACUGGGACUGAGACACGGUCCACACUCCUACGGGAGGCAGCAGUGGGGAAUAUUGCACAAUGGGCGCAAGCCUGAUGCAGCCAUGCCGCGUGUAUGAAGAAGGCCUUCUGGUUGUAAAGUACUUUCAGCGGGGAGGAAGGGAGUAAAGUUAAUACCUUUGCUCAUUGACGUUACCCGCAGAAGAAGCACCGGCUAACUCCGUG